UUUCAAGCUCUGCUAUUUUUAUUAAUAAAUUUCUAAGUAAAAAAAAAAUAAAAAACAGAAAAAUAGAUAAGCAUAGAUUAUUUAGUGAAGAAUUGAAAUUGGCUUUCACAAUUAAUAACAAAACAUUAUAUUGAACGUAGUGUUUGAAGUUGUGAGCAUGUUUUCGAACGAAAACUAAUCACGAUCCAGCCCGCCUUAAAAUUGUAUUAUUAUUUACCAUAUACAUGGUAAAAUUUUCCAAUUAUUUUGACUCUUUUUGAUCUAUAUUUUAAAUUAUGUCCAUGAGACAUUUGUAAAAUGUCUUGAAUUAUUUUUCAGUUAGAAAUUUUUUUGAGGUACCCACUUUCCACGUUUCUAACUACAAUUAUAUUGAUACGCGAUUACUAAAAAUGUAUAUUUAUCAAAAAAAUACACAGAAUUGUAUGACAAAGAUUCCGAAAAACCGGUUACUAUUUUCUGUGAGAAAUAUAUGAAGAAUUCAGAGAAAGAGUUUAUUAAGACUUUGUUUGCAUCAUUUGCAUAAAUAUUUUGUUUACUUGUUUGAAGAUAAAUAUUAAUUAAACUAUAAUAAUACAAUUACAUAUUUAAUUAUAUUAUAUUAUAUAUCGAAUUAUAAAUACUCUUAUAAUAUAAACAUAACUACAGUAUAUUAUAUACUCUAAUAAUUCAUAUUAUAAUAAAUUCGAUGUUUUCGACAAAAAAAAUAAUCCAACCAAUACCGUAUGUUACUAAUAGUAGAUAGUAUAAAUUAUAAAUUAAUAAUAUAUUUUAUAUUGUAAUACUAAUAUAUACUUAAUAAUAAAGGUUUGUCUAUAUCA
Long non-coding RNA from Acyrthosiphon pisum (pea aphid), 818 nucleotides. RefSeq lists it as uncharacterized. The transcript is spliced from 3 exons. Lineage: Eukaryota; Metazoa; Arthropoda; Insecta; Hemiptera; Aphididae. The record is from RefSeq and is a predicted model, not a curated record.